RNAcentral lists this ribosomal RNA (497 nucleotides) under uncultured bacterium. Its description in RNAcentral is "partial 16S ribosomal RNA". It matches the Rfam family "Bacterial small subunit ribosomal RNA", at positions 28 to 507 of the family's 1533-position model. The record is from RNAcentral.
GAUGAACGCUGGCGGCGUGCCUAAUACAUGCAAGUCGAGCGAACAGAUCAGGAGCUUGCGCCUCUGACGUUAUCGGCGGACGGGUGAGUCACACGUGUAUGACCUAACUAUCAGACUGGGAUAACAUCGGGAAACCAGAUCUACUACCGGAUGAUAUAUUGCACCGCAUGGGUCAAUCGUGAAAGACGGUUUUGCUGUCACUUAUAGACUGAUCCGGGCCGCAUUAGCUAGUUGGUAAGGUAACGGCUUACCCAGGCAACGAUGGUUAACCGCCCCGAGAGGGUGGUCCCACACACUGGAAGUGAGAAUGGGCACACACACUUGGAGGAGGACGCGGUAGGGACUCCUACGCGAUGCACGAGAGCGUGACAGUGCACCGCCGCGUGAGUGAUGAAGCACUUCGGAUGCGAGAGCUAUGUAGGUAGGAAGGAAGAAAAGCGUAAGUAACUAUGAUCGUAUUGACGGUACCGGAAGAAAAAGCCACGGCUAACUACGUG